Aromia moschata is the source of this 81-nucleotide non-coding RNA. NCBI's taxonomy places the organism in Eukaryota, Metazoa, Arthropoda, Insecta, Coleoptera, Cerambycidae. The record is from the annotation of a GenBank genome assembly.
GCCGCGGCGAUAGCUCAGUGUGUAAAGCGCCAGGUGAGUAGAUUGCGAUUCUCCGCGCGGGUUCGAAUCCCGCCUGUGGCA